Molecule: unclassified non-coding RNA, 244 nt
Filed under: Paraglomus occultum
Lineage: Eukaryota; Fungi; Glomeromycota; Glomeromycetes; Paraglomerales; Paraglomeraceae
Description: partial internal transcribed spacer 2
Source: RNAcentral
GUGAAUCAUCGAAUCUUUGAACGCAAAUUGCGCCUUCUGCUGAAGGCAUGUGUGUGUGAGGUCACCAUUUAACAAAUAAUGUGCAUUUUGUGUGCACACGUUGAUGAGCUUUCUAAAAUUAUGUAUGAUCUUUGGUGUCGUAUGAUAAACAGCGCGAUGCUUUUUUUUAGUUGGUGUGUAGUAAAAUUUUUGCUUGCUUGGGUUGUGAAAAGCGUGAGCUCGCAAACGGGUGUGGCGAUGCUAC